Papaver somniferum (opium poppy) is the source of this 2658-nucleotide RNA transcript. RefSeq lists it as uncharacterized. The transcript has 6 exons. Lineage: Eukaryota; Viridiplantae; Streptophyta; Magnoliopsida; Ranunculales; Papaveraceae. The record is from RefSeq and is a predicted model, not a curated record.
CAGUCUCACUGUAGGUGUAUAAUAGGCAAAUAUCAUAGUUUGUCAUGGCCGCUGGAGAGUUGCCCUUUAUAUAUACAAUGGAUUUGGAUUGGAUUGAACCCGACAUCUCGCCAUCACAGAACCGUAGUUGCUUCAUCGACAACGUUGUCUUCUCCCGGGCGUACUCAAACAAGGAAUUUUUAAUGGAGUUCAUUCCUAGCAACAAAACUUUUUUACUCUUUUCUUUAUAGUCAUCAUCAAAACUCAUCUCUUUCUCUUCUUAACUUCAGUUCCUUCCCAAGUUACACCAACUCUUCUUGUUCUUCUUCGUUUGUAAUCAAUUACCUGAUCAAUUUCAUGUGCACCGCUAGUGAGAAAUAUAACUAAAAAUCUGACGGUUGCCGGUCAAUUGCCCUUCUAUUUUCAAGAAACCCCGACCCUCACGAGAUCUUCCCCAAUUAUACAAAAGCCAUUCACACGGCCGGCAUGCGAAAACACACAUUAUUUCGAACAAUUAAACCAGCGUCGCAACCGCAAACCACCAACAGUGUAGGUACUCCCCAUUUUCUCAAAUGGCUAGUAUCCGUGAUGAGCUGAAGAUGUCUGUUGAGGAGGAGGAGGAGGAAAGGAAGAGCAAUGCUAUCCUUAGGAAGGAACUAAUAGCAAGAACACUAAGGCAAAGAGAAAGUACUAAUGAAUAUUUGAAAGCUCUGGGGGAGGAGCCCAUAAGUUACGAUUCCGAAAUUACCGAGCAUGAUUGGCUCCUUAAUCUUUCUGAAACGGAUCACUACGGAUAUCCUAGAUGACAACGACAGUCGAGGAAAGUUGUUCAUAAAGAGAAAAAGGUAUCCCGCAAAAGCCUUAGCUGGCAGCAAGGAGGCUAAUGGGGCGGACUUGUAGUAAAAUCAAGGUUCAUCUGCAGUUGUCUUUCGGGAAGUAGCCGCUCAUCAACCUUCCCUCAUUUUUUGGAACUCAGUUUGCUCUUUUUUCUCCUUCUUUAUGUCCUCUUCGAACUUGUUAUACAUGCUGUAAUCUGGAAUUCUAAUGAAGACAGGUCGUUUAUGCCUUUGUGGUUCAAAAAUUAGUCUCGUGUUUUUUUUCUUCCACAAAUCUAUACGUCACAUGCCUCGGUAGUUCGCUUAAGGAUAGGUCUUAAGCCAUCACAAACUGCUAUUGGUUACACUUAAGCGAAAUGCGAUUCCCAAGUCAUAUGUGAUGUAGGAAACCCUUAAGCAGUGAAGAAAGUGCUUUAUUUCCGUGGAGGUGAUAGGACAUUCCACAGUUUUAGUUAGCAAGGUUUGCAAUAUUAAUUUGAUUGGCUAACUCACAUUUUAGCUUACGAAUUCGUAUAACCAGCUACUAAUACUAGAAUAUGAACCUUUGAAUUAGGGAGUUCGUAUAACUGGUAACUGGUUACUAGUUAGGUGAUCGAAAUUGAGUUUUGAAGUUUUUAUUUUAAAGCCCCAUGUGCCACUUCGAGACGAAAGAUCAGAUUGUUGUUCUGAUUAUUGUGUCCCUUUUCUGGAAAGGUGCCACUUUCUUGAUCACCUGUUUAGUUUCUUAAAUAUGUUAAGAAGCGGUGGUACACUACGAGAUGAUCACCUAUGGUUGUCUGGCUUAUGAAAGUCAGGCUUUUCUUGUCACUGCACGGACUAAAGCCAAUAGAAGUCGCAGUUUUAGGCGGUAAUUGUCGAUGUGUUGAGAUUCUUUUUCCAGUGACUUCUCCUAUUCCAUCAUAUGCUGACGGGAGCGUAAAUGGAACAAUGAAGCAUGCAAAUCCAAAGAAGUUUGAAAAAGAGGUAACCAUGAUUUAUCUUUUUCUUUCUCUUUUUGAGAUUUUGGAUAGUGUUUCAAGUUUCAACAUUUUGGGACCAAAUUGACUUCACUAGUUUUUCACUGACUUUCUGUAAAGCAACUAUCACUUGAUGUUCUGGAUCAAUAUAAGAUUUGUACUGUGUAUGUCAUACCAGUAACUCUCCUGUCAUUAUAUUUGUUUCCGUUGGCAUUCAGCAGUUUCAAACUUCCAUGCAAUGAAGCUCGUAAAUGUGUAGUUUAUAGAAACAUUUCAAGCAAAUUUACUGUAUUAAAUCUUCUAAUUAUACAUCUCAGUUGUUUUUGAAGUCUUAAAAAGUUGUUAUUUAGCUUAAUUCAUAUGCAGAAAGACACGUUGUUGCUAUAGUAGAGUUAAGAUGGGAAACCACCCAUAUGCACGUUUCCACAUUGUCUCACGGUAAUCUUUAAAAUUAGAAGGUGUUGGGUUCUUAGCCUAUUUCUUUCAAGGUGUCUUGUAUUUUACUUUCUCCCAGUGAUGGAUUGGUUACUCUAGUAAUUUAUUUCUCGGGCCCUCCGCCCUCCACAUAAGCCUGGCGAUGCAAUCUUGCUUUUGAAGAUGCUAAAUGCAUGCUGGAAAGACCAGACUGUCCUAAGGCUUUUUAGCCUUUUCCGAUAGUUUGGAAGUGGAUCCUGGAAACAGAGCUUGAAGAUGCAUUCAGGGAGUUUUCUUUAGCCCAGGAGGCCAUGAUUAAAAGGAAGAUAAUGGAUAUACAUACAGAUACUCCGAUCCAGUCUUUUUUGGGGAAGUUUUAGUCAUCUUCUGUAAAAAGUUAGAAAGUCACUAAAACAAUCUCUUGAACAAUGUAGUAGCUCUUGAAAGUCUCUUUUGUAAAAAGGCAGGUUUAC